This 776-nucleotide ribosomal RNA is filed under the name uncultured Neocallimastigales. RNAcentral describes it as "partial large subunit ribosomal RNA". It matches the Rfam family "Eukaryotic large subunit ribosomal RNA", at positions 23 to 633 of the family's 3401-position model. Lineage: Eukaryota; Fungi; Neocallimastigomycota; Neocallimastigomycetes; Neocallimastigales. The record is from RNAcentral.
AGAGAGAGACAUGCGCGCAUAUCAAUAAGCGGAGGAAAAGAAACUAACUAAGGAUUCCCUCAGUAACGGCGAGUGAAGCGGGAAGAGCUCAAAUUUGAAAUCUUCAAGGUUCUACCUUGACGAAUUGUAGUUUAAAGAAGUGUUUUCUGUUGAAGUUUUGGUAAAAGUUCUUUGGAAUAGGACAUCAUAGAGGGUGAGAAUCCCGUAUUUGACCAUUAUUUUCCAGCUUUGUGAUACACUUUCAAAGAGUCGGAUUGUUUGGGAAUGCAGUCCAAAAUGGGUGGUAAAUUUCAUCUAAAGCUAAAUAUUGGCGAGAGACCGAUAGCGAACAAGUACCGUGAGGGAAAGAUGAAAAGAACUUUGAAAAGAGAGUUAAACAGUACGUGAAAUUGUCAAAAGGGAAGCGUUUGACACCAGUGUUGUUUUCUCGAAAAUCAAUUAAAAAUGGCUCGAUUUUGUAUUGUUGAGACCUUAAAAGCUCACUGUACAUUUUUCGUGUCCUUUUUUAAUGCACUUUUCGUUUAACAAGUCAACAUCAGUUUCUUUUGUUGUAAAAGGGUCAUUGGAAGGUGGCUUUCUUUUCGGAGAAAGUGUUUAUAGCCUUUGGCCUCUGCAAUCGAAGAGACUGAGGUCUGCAGCGUAGACUCUUCGGGGUUAGAUACAUUUGUGCUAAGUUAUAGCUUUUUAUAGACAACUUGUUGACUAUAAUUAGUCUUGUAGCUUACUCGCUUAUGCUAUUUUACCUACGCUUAGGAUGUUGAGUCGUAGAGCACGCA